CCUGGGCCUGAUUCAAGUAAUCCAGGAUAGGUUUGUUCAGAAAGGUAAAGCCUAUUCUGCAUGACUUGGUUCAGGACUAUG
Molecule: non-coding RNA, 81 nt
Organism: Salmo salar (Atlantic salmon)
Lineage: Eukaryota; Metazoa; Chordata; Actinopteri; Salmoniformes; Salmonidae
Source: Rfam